CCUACGGGAGGCAGCAGUGAGGAAUAUUGGUCAAUGGGCGUAAGCCUGAACCAGCCAAGUCGCGUGAGGGAUGAAGGUUCUAUGGAUCGUAAACCUCUUUUAUAAGGGAAUAAAGUGCGGGACGUGUCCCGUUUUGUAUGUACCUUAUGAAUAAGGAUCGGCUAACUCCGUGCCAGCAGCCGCGGUAAUACGGAGGAUCCGAGCGUUAUCCGGAUUUAUUGGGUUUAAAGGGUGCGUAGGCGGCCUUUUAAGUCAGCGGUGAAAGUCUGUGGCGCAACCAUAGAAUUGCCGUUGAAACUGGGAGGCUUGAGUAUGUUUGAGGCAGGCGGAAUGCGUGUUGUAGCGGUGAAAUGCUUAGAUAUCACGCAGAACCCCGAUUGCGAAGGCAGCCUGCCAAGCCAUGACUGACGCUGAUGCACGAAAGCGUGGGGAGCAAACAGGAUUAGAUACCCCAGUAGUC
This 460-nucleotide ribosomal RNA is filed under the name uncultured bacterium. RNAcentral's name for it is "partial 16S ribosomal RNA". It matches the Rfam family "Bacterial small subunit ribosomal RNA", at positions 338 to 795 of the family's 1533-position model. The record is from RNAcentral.